GGAAAUCCUAUUUCUGAAGCUAUGCUUUGCCUAAAUUAGAGGCUGAAUUCAUCGAUUAUCAAUUUUUCUAUUCCAGUCAUUCUCUACAAACAUAAUGAUACAAUGGCAUUGUGCUCCACACACCAGCUUUGGCAGUAACUUAGAAGCAGCCCCGAGUACAUUCAAUUUAAGACUCCCAAAAGGCUCCUAUAGUCUCUAGCUGAGCUUUGAAUCAGUAUAAACUAUAGCCUGCCACUUAACAGUCCGUAUGAACUAGAAACAAAAGCCUGGACUUGCUAUGUAGUUAAUGAAUCCGGAAGGGUCGAGCGGGCUCCAAGAACCUUUCCACCGACGUCUGGGAAAUUUUCUUGUCCAGAGAAGGGGCUUACUUUGCCAUUACUGUCUACCUCCAAAGGGUAUUUAAGGAGAUGCCCCUGCAAUGGUGAAAAUUCCUUCUCUGUGAACCUC
Molecule: unclassified non-coding RNA, 447 nt
Filed under: Hevea brasiliensis (rubber tree)
Lineage: Eukaryota; Viridiplantae; Streptophyta; Magnoliopsida; Malpighiales; Euphorbiaceae
Source: RNAcentral